RNAcentral lists this ribosomal RNA (2583 nucleotides) under Clostridioides difficile. RNAcentral's name for it is "bacterial LSU rRNA". It matches the Rfam family "Bacterial large subunit ribosomal RNA", at positions 317 to 2925 of the family's 2925-position model. Lineage: Bacteria; Bacillati; Bacillota; Clostridia; Peptostreptococcales; Peptostreptococcaceae. The record is from RNAcentral.
CGAAGAGGUAUCGUAAUUGAAGAGGUUUGGAAAGACCCACCACAGAAGGUAAUAGUCCUGUAUGUUAAACGAGAAGACUUUAGAUAUGAUCCAGAGUACCACGGGACACGUGAAACCCUGUGGGAAGCAGGAGGGACCACCCUCCAAGGCUAAAUACUACCUAGUGACCGAUAGCGUAUAGUACCGUGAGGGAAAGGUGAAAAGAACCCCGGGAGGGGAGUGAAAUAGAACCUGAAACCCUGCACUUACAAGCUGUGGAAGCACAUUUCUUGUGUGACCGCGUACUUUUUGUAGAACGGGCCAACGAGUUACGUUAAGUAGCAAGGUUAAGCACUUAAGGUGUGGAGCCGUAGCGAAAGCGAGUUUUAACUGAGCGUUCAGUUACUUGACGUAGACCCGAAACCGGGCGACCUACCCAUGAGCAGGAUGAAGCGAAAGUAAAAUUUCGUGGAGGUCCGAACCCACGAGCGUUGAAAAGCUCGGGGAUGACUUGUGGGUAGCGGUGAAAUUCCAAUCGAGCCCGGAGAUAGCUGGUUCUCCCCGAAAUAGCUUUAGGGCUAGCCUCAAGGUGAGAGAUACGGAGGUAGAGCACUGAAUGUCCUAGGGGGUAUUGCACCUACCGAAGACUAUCAAACUCCGAAUGCCGUCAUCUUAUACUUGGGAGUCAGACUGUGGGUGAUAAGAUUCAUAGUCGAAAGGGCAACAGCCCAGAUCGUCAGCUAAGGUCCCUAAAUGUAAGUUAAGUGGUAAAGGAUGUGGGAUUGCACAGACAACCAGGAUGUUGGCUUAGAAGCAGCCACUCAUUCAAAGAGUGCGUAAUAGCUCACUGGUCGAGUGAUCCUGCGCCGAAGAUUUCCGGGGCUAAAACUUACUACCGAAGCUACGGCAUCAGUAAUGAUGGGUAGGGGAGCUUCCCAUACGGGUUGAAGCAUGACCGUAAGGACAUGUGGACAGUAUGGGAGUGAGAAUGUUGGCAUGAGUAGCGAGAUGUGGGUGAGAAUCCCACAGGCCGUAAACCCAAGGUUUCCAGGGGAAGGUUCGUCCGCCCUGGGUUAGUCGGGACCUAAGCUGAGGCCGAAAGGCGUAGGUGAUGGACAACAGGUUGAUAUUCCUGUACUACCGAUAACCGUUUGAGAGAAGGGAUGACACAGUAGGAUAAGCUAAGCACACUGUUGGUUAUGUGUGCCCAAGCAUUGAGGCAGUCAAAGUAGGCAAAUCCGCUUUGAUAAUGCUGGGAUGUGAUGGGGAGCGAAAUUUAGUAGCGAAGUAGCUGAUUUCACACUGUCAAGAAAAGUCUCUAUCGAGGUUAAAGGUACCCGUACCGCAAACCGACACAGGUGGGUGAGGAGAGUAUCCUAAGGCCAGCGAGAGAACUGUUGUUAAGGAACUCGGCAAAAUGACCCCGUAACUUAGGGAUAAGGGGUGCCACCAUCAGGUGGCCGCAGAGAAUAGGCCCAAGCGACUGUUUACCAAAAACAUAGGUUUCUGCUAAGUCGCAAGACGAUGUAUAGGAGCUGACGCCUGCCCGGUGCUGGAAGGUUAAGGGGAUCUGUUAGAGCAAUCGAAGCAGUGAACUUAAGCCCCAGUAAACGGCGGCCGUAACUAUAACGGUCCUAAGGUAGCGAAAUUCCUUGUCGGGUAAGUUCCGACCCGCACGAAAGGCGUAACGAUUUGGGCACUGUCUCAACAACAGACUCGGUGAAAUUGUAAUUCCGGUGAAGAUGCCGGAUACCUGCGACAGGACGGAAAGACCCCAUGGAGCUUUACUGUAGCUUGACAUUGGGUCUUGGUACUACAUGUACAGGAUAGGUGGGAGGCUUUGAAACCAGGACGCCAGUUUUGGCGGAGCCAUCCUUGGGAUACCACCCUUGUAGUACUGGGACUCUAACCAUAGGCCAUGAAUCUGGUCUUGGGACACUGUCAGGUGGGCAGUUUGACUGGGGCGGUCGCCUCCCAAAAGGUAACGGAGGCGCUCAAAGGUUCUCUCAGUACGGUCGGAAAUCGUACGUAGAGUGUAAAGGCAAAAGAGAGCUUGAUUGCAAGACAUACAGGUCGAGCAAGGAUGAAAAUCGGACUUAGUGAUCCGGUGGUUCUGCGUGGAAGGGCCAUCGCUCAACGGAUAAAAGCUACCCUGGGGAUAACAGGCUUAUCUCCCCCAAGAGUCCACAUCGACGGGGAGGUUUGGCACCUCGAUGUCGGCUCAUCACAUCCUGGGGCUGUAGUAGGUCCCAAGGGUUGGGCUGUUCGCCCAUUAAAGUGGUACGCGAGCUGGGUUCAGAACGUCGUGAGACAGUUCGGUCCCUAUCCGUCGCAGGCGUAGGAAAUUUGAGAAGACCUGUCCUUAGUACGAGAGGACCGGGAUGGACGUACCUCUGGUGUACCAGUUGUCCUGCCAAGGGCAUGGCUGGGUAGCUAUGUACGGAAUGGAUAAGCGCUGAAAGCAUCUAAGCGCGAAGCCAACUUCAAGAUAAGAUUUCCCACCGCAAGGGUAAGACCCCAGAAAGACUAUCUGGUUGAUAGGUCGAAGGUGUAAGUGCAGCAAUGUAUUUAGCUUAUCGAUACUAAUAGGUCGAGGACUUGACC